Molecule: ribosomal RNA, 253 nt
Filed under: uncultured Eubacteriales bacterium
Lineage: Bacteria; Bacillati; Bacillota; Clostridia; Eubacteriales
Description: uncultured Clostridiales bacterium partial 16S ribosomal RNA
Rfam family: Bacterial small subunit ribosomal RNA
Source: RNAcentral
UACGUAGGGGGCAAGCGUUAUCCGGAUUUACUGGGUGUAAAGGGAGCGCAGGCGGUAUGGCGAGUCAGAUGUGAAAACCCAGGGCCCAACCCUGGGACUGCAUUUGAAACUGCCAUACUGGAGUGCCGGAGAGGUAAGUGGAAUUCCUAGUGUAGCGGUGAAAUGCGUAGAUAUUAGGAGGAACACCAGUGGCGAAGGCGGCUUACCAGACUGCGACUGACGCUGAAGCACGAGAGCGUGGGUAGCGAACAGG